UUGGGGUUUUUGUUAGAGCUUUUGCAAGGGGUUAGUGCUUCUUAUUGAAAGAGAGAGGUUUAUGAGAGUUAAGAGUGUGUGAUUUUCUCUUGUAUUUAUUUUCUUUCAUAGUAAGACUUUUGUAUGUCCCAUGGAGGUAAGCCUUGGGCUGAUCCAUAUAUUUGAUUGUGUCUUUAAUUUUAUUUCUUCUUUCUUUCUAUUGCGAU
RNAcentral lists this long non-coding RNA (206 nucleotides) under Elaeis guineensis (African oil palm). Its description in RNAcentral is "long non-coding RNA (EGUI_LNC032105)". The record is from RNAcentral. Lineage: Eukaryota; Viridiplantae; Streptophyta; Magnoliopsida; Arecales; Arecaceae.